Molecule: long non-coding RNA, 676 nt
Organism: Cercocebus atys (sooty mangabey)
Lineage: Eukaryota; Metazoa; Chordata; Mammalia; Primates; Cercopithecidae
Exons: 3
Source: RefSeq, a predicted model, not a curated record
CUUCCACUGCGGCUGUCUGAGGAGGAAGUUGCCCGGGACUCGGUGGCGCCUGAUGUGGCCUCUGAUAUCGACUGGGAGGUGGAACAGAAAUUUGGGGAACGCAUCGAGAACCCUGGAAAAGCAACCUUCUCAGGGGGCGGUUCUCUGUGCCCGUGUGAACCUUCACAGUUGGAUGGAACUCAGGCCCCAGGCGGAGCUUAAACAAUCCCUUUUCUGUCCUCCAAACUGGACUCCAGGAGGAAGUUGUACUCUGAAGGUCCUUUGUCUGCCUGAAGUCUGGAUCCACCAAAAAAGAAAACAGUUACCUCUGGUCCCUUCCUCAAGUUUUCAUUAACUGAACUCAUUGCAAGAAGAAAGACAACUUGGUCCACACACAUGGAUAGACUUUCGUCACAAACCACUGUUUGCUCAUUGGGUCCAACAGAGUUUGUCCCAGGCCGUUGUAUAUUUCAAUUCCAUUGACUUCCCCUGAAGAUCAUUUACUACCUUCCUAAAUCAUCCACGUUUCCCCAUCUCCCUUUCACUCAAGAAGAGGAUAUGAGACCUUCAGGAAGACCUCCUGACAGUCUUACCGGAUGCUCUUGUAACAAGAUUCUCUACCCCACUGUGUGGUGAAGAAAUCGCUCUGUGAUUUUCCCCUAUGCACAUUAAUAAAUUUUGUCCGGCAUUUCUCCUA